RNAcentral lists this ribosomal RNA (697 nucleotides) under Lichtheimia ornata. RNAcentral describes it as "eukaryotic LSU rRNA". It matches the Rfam family "Eukaryotic large subunit ribosomal RNA", at positions 53 to 654 of the family's 3401-position model. Lineage: Eukaryota; Fungi; Mucoromycota; Mucoromycetes; Mucorales; Lichtheimiaceae. The record is from RNAcentral.
GAGGAAAAGAAAAUAACCAUGAUUCCCCUAGUAACGGCGAGUGAAGAGGGAAAAGCUCAAAGUUGGAACCUGGCUGUCUUAGAUAGUCCGGAUUGUAAACUAAAGAGCGUGAGUCCAGGCAAGCCGGUUGAUCAAGUCCUUUGGAAUGAGGCGCCACUGAGGGUGAGAGCCCCGUAAAUCGACUGAGCAUUUGUCUUUUGUGUCUCGCGUUCAAAGAGUCAGGUUGUUUGGGAAUGCAGCCUAAAGCUGGUGGUAAAUCCCACCUAAAGCUAAAUACAGGCGAGAGACCGAUAGCGAACAAGUACCGUGAGGGAAAGAUGAAAAGUACUUUGAAAAGAGAGUUAAACAGUAUGUGAAAUUGCCAAGAGGGAAGCAUUUGGAGUUAGACUGACUUGGAGUUAAUCAGCUUGGUCUUUGGACUGGGUGUACUUGACUUCUAUGUCUGCCAACAGCAGUUAGUCCUGAUGGAAAAAACUGAAGGGAAGGUAGUCCUUCGGGAUGUUUAUAGACCUUUGGAAAAUACAUUGGGAUUGACUGAGGAAUGCAGUAGAUGCUAUUAAGGCUUCGUCUAUUGGGUGUUAGGUAAAGGUACUUGGUAUUUUCAGCUUGCUGAUGUGCUAGGUUACUUGAGCUUAAUUGCCUAGUAGAACUGUAAUCUACUUGGGUUGUUGGCUUAAUGACUCUAAAUGGCCCGUCU